GUCUUUUUGAGUUAUUUUUAAAGUCUGACCUGCCCACUGAAUAUUUUUAAAUGGCCGCAGUAUUCUAACUGUGCAAAGGUAGCAUAAUCAUUAGUCUUUUAAUUGAAGGCUGGUAUGAACGGUUGGACGAAGUAUAAGCUGUUUCAUAUAAAAUUAUAUUAGAAUUUUAUAUUUUAGUUAAAAAGCUAAAAUAUUAUUAAAAGACGAGAAGACCCUAUAAAUCUUUAUAUUUAAUAUUAUUCAAAUUUUUUUGAUUAAUUUUAUUUUUAUAAUAUUAAAUAUUUUGUUGGGGUGAUAUUAAAAUUUAACAAACUUUUAAUUUUGAAUUAGAACAUUAAUUUAUGAAUAGUUGAUCCAUUAUUAAUGAUUAUAAGAUUAAGUUACUUUAGGGAUAACAGCGUAAUUUUUUUUGAGAGUUCAUAUCGACAAAAAAGUUUGCGACCUCGAUGUUGGAUUAAGAUAUAUAUUUAGGUGUAGCCGUUUAAAUAUUAAGUCUGUUCGACUUUUAAAUUCUUACGUGAUCUGAGUUCAG
Molecule: ribosomal RNA, 532 nt
Filed under: Ceratitis rosa (Natal fruit fly)
Lineage: Eukaryota; Metazoa; Arthropoda; Insecta; Diptera; Tephritidae
Description: partial 16S ribosomal RNA
Rfam family: Bacterial large subunit ribosomal RNA (bases 391-532)
Source: RNAcentral